CGACCGCGUACGUGCCCAGCAGCUCCUUGCGGUGCCACGCGUACCGGGCGCCCUCCGCGAUCGCCGCCCACGAC
RNAcentral lists this transfer RNA (74 nucleotides) under Streptomyces mutabilis. The record is from RNAcentral. Lineage: Bacteria; Bacillati; Actinomycetota; Actinomycetes; Kitasatosporales; Streptomycetaceae.